Molecule: ribosomal RNA, 253 nt
Filed under: uncultured bacterium
Lineage: Bacteria
Description: partial 16S ribosomal RNA
Rfam family: Bacterial small subunit ribosomal RNA
Source: RNAcentral
UACGAAGGGGGCUAGCGUUGUUCGGAUUUACUGGGCGUAAAGCGCACGUAGGCGGAUUGUUAAGUCAGGGGUGAAAUCCUGGAGCUCAACUCCAGAACUGCCUUUGAUACUGGCAAUCUCGAGUCCGGAAGAGGUAAGUGGAACUCCUAGUGUAGAGGUGGAAUUCGUAGAUAUUAGGAAGAACACCAGUGGCGAAGGCGGCUUACUGGUCCGGAACCGACGCUGAGGUGCGAAAGCGUGGGGAGCAAACAGG